UACGUAGGGAGCGAGCGUUGUCCGGAAUUACUGGGCGUAAAGGGUGCGUAGGCGGCGAUGCAAGUCAGAUGUGAAAUCCCCGGGCUUAACUCGGGGGGUGCAUUUGAAACUGCAUUGCUUGAGUGCAGGAGAGGAAAGCGGAAUUCCUAGUGUAGCGGUGAAAUGCGUAGAUAUUAGGAAGAACGCCAGUGGCGAAGGCGGCUUUCUGGACUGUAACUGACGCUGAGGCACGAAAGCGUGGGGAGCAAAC
RNAcentral lists this ribosomal RNA (250 nucleotides) under uncultured Eubacteriales bacterium. RNAcentral's name for it is "uncultured Clostridiales bacterium partial 16S ribosomal RNA". It matches the Rfam family "Bacterial small subunit ribosomal RNA", at positions 524 to 773 of the family's 1533-position model. The record is from RNAcentral. Lineage: Bacteria; Bacillati; Bacillota; Clostridia; Eubacteriales.